UACGUAGGGUGCGAGCGUUAUUCGGAAUUACUGGGCGUAAAGCGUGCGCAGGCGGUGCGCUGUGUCCGAUGUGAAAGCCCCGGGCUUAACCUGGGAAUGGCAUUGGAAACUGGCUCGCUGGAGUGUGGCAGAGGGGGGUGGAAUUCCUGGUGUAGCAGUGAAAUGCGUAGAUAUCAGGAGGAACAUCGAUGGCGAAGGCAGCCCCUUGGGCCUGUACUGACGCUCAUGAACGAAAGCGUGGGGAGCAAACAGG
This 253-nucleotide ribosomal RNA is filed under the name uncultured bacterium. RNAcentral describes it as "partial 16S ribosomal RNA". It matches the Rfam family "Bacterial small subunit ribosomal RNA", at positions 524 to 776 of the family's 1533-position model. The record is from RNAcentral.